RNAcentral lists this ribosomal RNA (465 nucleotides) under uncultured Klebsiella sp. RNAcentral's name for it is "bacterial SSU rRNA". It matches the Rfam family "Bacterial small subunit ribosomal RNA", at positions 338 to 795 of the family's 1533-position model. Lineage: Bacteria; Pseudomonadati; Pseudomonadota; Gammaproteobacteria; Enterobacterales; Enterobacteriaceae. The record is from RNAcentral.
CCUACGGGCGGCUGCAGUGGGGAAUAUUGCACAAUGGGCGCAAGCCUGAUGCAGCCAUGCCGCGUGUGUGAAGAAGGCCUUCGGGUUGUAAAGCACUUUCAGCGGGGAGGAAGGCGUUAAGGUUAAUAACCUUGGCGAUUGACGUUACCCGCAGAAGAAGCACCGGCUAACUCCGUGCCAGCAGCCGCGGUAAUACGGAGGGUGCAAGCGUUAAUCGGAAUUACUGGGCGUAAAGCGCACGCAGGCGGUCUGUCAAGUCGGAUGUGAAAUCCCCGGGCUCAACCUGGGAACUGCAUUCGAAACUGGCAGGCUAGAGUCGUGUAGAGGGGGGUAGAAUUCCAGGUGUAGCGGUGAAAUGCGUAGAGAUCUGGAGGAAUACCGGUGGCGAAGGCGGCCCCCUGGACAAAGACUGACGUUCAGGUGCGAAAGCGUGGGGAGCAAACAGGAUUAGAUACCCCUGUAGUC